RNAcentral lists this ribosomal RNA (424 nucleotides) under uncultured prokaryote. Its description in RNAcentral is "bacterial SSU rRNA". It matches the Rfam family "Bacterial small subunit ribosomal RNA", at positions 355 to 796 of the family's 1533-position model. The record is from RNAcentral.
UGGGGAAUAUUGGACAAUGGGCGCAAGCCUGAUCCAGCCAUGCCGCGUGAGUGAUGAAGGCCUUAGGGUUGUAAAGCUCUUUCAACGGUGAAGAUAAUGACGGUAGCCGUAGAAGAAGCCCCGGCUAACUUCGUGCCAGCAGCCGCGGUAAUACGAAGGGGGCAAGCGUUGUUCGGAAUCACUGGGCGUAAAGCGCACGUAGGCGGAUUGUUAAGUUAGGGGUGAAAUCCCGGGGCUCAACCUCGGAACUGCCUCUGAUACUGGCAAUCUUGAGUUCGGGAGAGGAGUGUGGAACUCCGAGUGUAGAGGUGAAAUUCGUAGAUAUUCGGAAGAAAACCAGAGGCGAAGGCGGCACUCUGGCCCGAUACUGACGCUGAGGUGCGAAAGCGUGGGGAGCAAACAGGAUUAGAUACCCCCGUAGUCC